GUUCGGUUACAAUUUAAUCGAUUGUGAGUAACAAUCACAAUUUAUAGGUCACAUAUUACAAAUUCAUCAAUUAUUAGUCACGAUCAACCAAAUAAUUAAUCAUAAGCAUCCAACAUUUCUUCCCACCGACAACGACCACCACAUUUAUCAUCACUAUCACCAUUAUCGCUACCACAACAACGAAGCACCGCUACCAACAAAGCUACCACCACCUCAUGACAACGUGUCAACGCUACAACAUAGGAACAUAUUCAUCACCACAAUAGAGAAACGACGCCACCACCAUAGUUGCCGCAGCGACCCAUCACCAUCAACAUCAAUUAUCACAGCAACCGCCGCCACCAUCAGUCACCAUCACAAUUGGUUGCCAUAGUGACCACCACCAUCACCAUCAGUCACCCACAACCACAACCACUAUCACCUCACCACCACAGCCACCAAACAAAAAUUGAAUGUAAAGAAUUGAAUACCACACUACUGAAUCGCCACCACCACUGCACCCACGGUACCGCGCCACCACCACACCGUACACCUCCACCUCCACCAAACUGCCAACCACGCU
This 562-nucleotide long non-coding RNA is filed under the name Olea europaea subsp. europaea. Lineage: Eukaryota; Viridiplantae; Streptophyta; Magnoliopsida; Lamiales; Oleaceae. The record is from RNAcentral.